GACGAACGCUGGCGGCGUGCUUAACACAUGCAAGUCGAACGGAAAGGCCCUGCUCUUGUGGGGUGCUCGAGUGGCGAACGGGUGAGUAACACGUGAGUAACCUGCCCUUGACUUUGGGAUAACUUCAGGAAACUGGGGCUAAUACCGGAUAGGAGCUCCUGCUGCAUGGUGGGGGUUGGAAAGUUUCGGCGGUUGGGGAUGGACUCGCGGCUUAUCAGCUUGUUUGUGGGGUAGUGGCUUACCAAGGCUUUGACGGGUAGCCGGCCUGGGAGGGUGAACGGCGACAAUGGGACUGAGAUACGGACCAGAAUCCUACGGGACGCAGCAGUGGGGAGUCUUGCGCAGUGGGGGGAAGCCUGAUGCAGCAACGCCGCGUGCGGGAUGACGGCCUUCGGGUUGUAAACCGCUUUCGCAUGUGCCGAAGAGUGAGUGACGGUAAUGGGUAAAGAAGCACCGGCUAACUACGUG
Molecule: ribosomal RNA, 468 nt
Filed under: uncultured bacterium
Lineage: Bacteria
Description: partial 16S ribosomal RNA
Rfam family: Bacterial small subunit ribosomal RNA
Source: RNAcentral